GUGCGGUGACCUAGAGGUGGAGCUCCCUCCUCAUAAUCAGGAGGCUUUGAGUUUGAUGCUAGGUAGAGGCUAAUCUUUGAAAUAGACACUCCUGCUCGAGCAGGGGGUUAGACUAGAAGACCUCCAAGGUCCCUUCCAACUCUAUUAUUCUAUGAUCUAAUAUUUUAUGA
Molecule: non-coding RNA, 170 nt
Organism: Notechis scutatus (mainland tiger snake)
Lineage: Eukaryota; Metazoa; Chordata; Lepidosauria; Squamata; Elapidae
Source: RefSeq, a predicted model, not a curated record